This 800-nucleotide ribosomal RNA is filed under the name uncultured bacterium. Its description in RNAcentral is "bacterial SSU rRNA". It matches the Rfam family "Bacterial small subunit ribosomal RNA", at positions 8 to 808 of the family's 1533-position model. The record is from RNAcentral.
AGAGUUUGAUCCUGGCUCAGGAUGAACGCUGGCGGCGUGCUUAACACAUGCAAGUCGAACGAAGCACCUGAGAAUGAUUCUUCGGAUGAAGUCUCUUGUGACUGAGUGGCGGACGGGUGAGUAACGCGUGGGUAACCUGCCUCACACAGGGGGAUAACAGUUGGAAACGACCGCUAAUACCGCAUAACCCGCUGGUGCCGCAUGGCACUGACGGAAAAGAUUUAUCGGUGUGAGAUGGACCCGCGUCUGAUUAGCCAGUUGGCAGGGUAACGGCCUACCAAAGCGACGAUCAGUAGCCGGCCUGAGAGGGUGAACGGCCACAUUGGGACUGAGACACGGCCCAGACUCCUGCGGGAGGCAGCAGUGGGGAAUAUUGCACAAUGGGGGAAACCCUGAUGCAGCGACGCCGCGUGAGUGAAGAAGUAUUUCGGUAUGUAAAGCUCUAUCAGCAGGGAAGAAAAUGACGGUACCUGAUUAAGAAGCCCCGGCUAACUACGUGCCAGCAGCCGCGGUAAUACGUAGGGGGCAAGCGUUAUCCGGAUUUACUGGGUGUAAAGGGAGCGUAGACGGCGAUGCAAGUCUGAAGUGAAAGGCGGGGGCCCAACCCCCGGACUGCUUUGGAAACUGUAUGGCUGGAGUGCAGGAGAGGUAAGUGGAAUUCCUAGUGUAGCGGUGAAAUGCGUAGAUAUUAGGAGGAACACCAGUGGCGAAGGCGGCUUACUGGACUGUAACUGACGUUGAGGCUCGAAAGCGUGGGGAGCAAACAGGAUUAGAUACCCUGGUAGUCCACGCCGUAAACG